AAACCCUCUUCGUCUCAAAUUCUCUCUAGUCCCUCCAAAACCCUAGCCCUCUCCCAACGUCUUCCACCAUGUUUCAUCUGAAUCCAUAGCAUCCUCAAGCCUUGGAUGGCCUGUACUCACCUCCACAUGCUCUUGUACGCCUGCUACAAGAGGAUUUAAGGUCUGACCUUGAAGGUUUUUGCUCAGUUCAUCAUCAAUUCAAGUUUCACCGCCAUCUCCGGCAUGUCCUGGUCCUAUGUGCCUAUCUCUGGCUCACCUAGCUCAGAGCAGACCCUUUUCCAGGCCUUUCUCGCUUCUAGGGUUCUUCUGAAACCUUAGCCUUUGGAGGUUUUCCUAUAUUUCUUUAGAUCCUCUCUAGAUCUAUGCUUGUUUCAAGGUUUUCAAAAUGAUUUUCUCAAAUCUCUUUCAAAGGUUUGCUUUCAAAACUAUUCGUCUUCUCUGAUUUAGGGUUUCUUUGAUUUUUACUUGUUCUAUUUUGAUUCUAUGAGGUGUUAUUAUUGUAUUUGUCCUACUGUGACUCCUAUUUGUUCCUAUAUAGACUCCUGUGUGUUUUUUCUAUUAUUUUUCCAUCUAUUUUUCUUUUACUGUAUUUUCCCUCAGCAUGUUUCCACGGAAUAAUUAAGUUCUUUUGUGUUUUUCUGAGUUUUGCUCUUAUCUAAUUUGUAUGUCUUCGUCCCUACACUAGACUAAUGACGAAACCCCUAGAAUUUGGGGGUUUUUUAGACCACGUGUAUGCGACUUGCAUGUUCUCACCUCUGAACUAGUUUGAUUUCAAUUUCUGAAAAGUCAUCUCUGUUUUUCAUAUGAUUCUGACCUUUUGCCAAAAAAAUUUCUUCUUUCAUGUUUGAAGUGUUUGUAUGCUCUUUAUAUACUAUGAUUUUCCCACUAAAAGGGCCUUUCAAAUUUGCAAUUAGUUUGAAAUUUCUUCUGAAUACAGCUUGAUUGAUUUCUUUCCAUUUUUUGCCCACGACUCAACCUAAAUAAAACCCUUCUCUUUUCAUACUGGGUUCAUUCGUAUAAAAUCUCAGACCUUUGAUUUUACUGUUUGUUAAUUGGUCUUCUUACCUUAUUUGCACAAACUGUGUGUUUCAAAAAACUUUUCCUUAAAUAACUUUUAUGUAUUCACCCUUAUUUUUAUACUAUGCACAUGUUGUUUACCUGAUCCCCUUUCCUUAAAUAUUUUACAUCCUUUACUGAUCAAAUUGGGAUUCCUUAAUUAAAGGAAUCUCUAUUAGUUGAUUGAUCUUAAUUGAUACUCGACUAACUUUCUUUCCUUGCUUGCAUGUCUGAUUUCAAGUACAAAUACAUGCUCUUCUUUUUACUUCAUCGUCGAAUUCUAACUGAAAACCAAAAUCACAAUUCAUCUAUCUUCUUUACUACUACUAUUACUACUCUCUACUUCUCUGCAGUACUAUUGAGCUUUCUACAUCUGCACUUCCAGCUGCUCGAACUCCCAAACACUUGGGGAGUUUUUCUUAAGUCUGUUCCUAUUGUUCCUGGUUGUCUGUUUGUAGUUACUAUCCUGCUAAUAUAUAAUUUAUAACUCGUAUAUUCUUCUAUGUUUAAUAGCAUCCUUGUUCAACUUCUCUGCUUCUACACCUUUAUUUGUGUGUUUACUUAUGCUUUCCUGCAUUAUUUAACUACCUUCAAACAUGCUAUGUCUCUAAUGUUAUGUUAAUCCCUCUCCCUCUAUCCCAUUUGUGUGAGUUUUGCCCUAGGUCAUAGCAGCACUAUGGAUUGCUGUUGGUGAUCCAGAACUAUAUUUUUUUGAGUCUUUACUUGAUUGCUUUCCCAUUCCUAUUCCCUUUCCCAUCAAUGUUGAGCCCUAAUUUGGGUGUGUUGGUGUCCUGAUCAUCAUUCAGACCUAAGUUUGACUCUAUAAGGGUAUGCUCUUAUUUGUUUGAAUCUGAGCAAGAGAUUAGGGGUGUGCCAGUCUAUGUCAUGGAUGGGUAUGACCACCUCCUGCUUAGGUUCAUCUCUCACUUUACACCUACUCCUAGCUCUUAAAUUCUACCCCCUUUGGUAAGCCAUGCUUAGGGACCCUAGAGCUCCCUCUGAACUUUGAUGCCUAAGGGCUGGUAAUUCCACAC
This 2090-nucleotide long non-coding RNA is filed under the name Nicotiana benthamiana. RNAcentral's name for it is "long non-coding RNA (NBEN_LNC020640)". The record is from RNAcentral. Lineage: Eukaryota; Viridiplantae; Streptophyta; Magnoliopsida; Solanales; Solanaceae.